CCUACGGUGUGCAGCAGUAGGGAAUAUUGCUCAAUGGGGGAAACCCUGAAGCAGCAACGCCGCGUGGAGGAUGAAGGUUUUCGGAUUGUAAACUCAUUUUGGUAGAGAAGAUAAUGACGGUAUCUAACGAAUAAGCACCGGCUAACUCCGUGCCAGCAGCCGCGGUAAUACGGAGGGUGCAAGCGUUACUCGGAAUCACUUGGCGGAAAGAGCGCGUAGGCGGGAUGGCAAGUCAGAUGUGAAAUCAUCUGGCUUAACCAUAGAACUGCAUUUGAAACUGUUAUUAUUGAGGAUGGGAGAGGUAGGUGGAAUGCUUGGUGUAGGGGUAAAAUCGGUAGAGAUCAAGAGGA
Molecule: ribosomal RNA, 350 nt
Filed under: uncultured bacterium
Lineage: Bacteria
Description: partial 16S ribosomal RNA
Rfam family: Bacterial small subunit ribosomal RNA
Source: RNAcentral